AUGAGAUCUCUUUUUUUACUUGUACUAUUAGCCAUUCUGGAUAAAUCUGUUGGCCAGACAAUAACAUCAUUGCAGACCACAAAACAUGUCACUGAGAGAGAGACAGUCAUUCUCUCAUGCAAAUAUGAUAGCCAAGCACGUAGUUUACAUUGGUAUCGACAAUAUCCUGGAUCCAGACCAGAAUUUCUGCUUCUUGUUUAUGAGUCAGGCAGUGUAACACCUGCAGAUCCCCCUUUCCCAAGACUGAAUGGCAGCGUGAAUAAGGUGGAGAAGCAGGUAGAUCUGCAGAUCUCUUCUGCUGCUGUCACAGAUUCAGCGCUGUACUACUGCGCCCUGGAGCCCACAGUGACAGGAAGAGCAAACACACUGUACAAAAACCUAAGAGGAGUAAUGUUAAAAUAAUGGUGAUGUAACGUUGAAGUAAUGUUGAUGUACUGUUAGAGUCAAAUCAUGUUCAUGAAUUAGAUUAUUAACAUUAUUGUAGUAUGAAGCAGA
This is a non-coding RNA of Megalobrama amblycephala (Wuchang bream), 495 nucleotides long. The record is from the annotation of a RefSeq genome assembly. Lineage: Eukaryota; Metazoa; Chordata; Actinopteri; Cypriniformes; Xenocyprididae.